This 467-nucleotide ribosomal RNA is filed under the name uncultured bacterium. RNAcentral's name for it is "partial 16S ribosomal RNA". It matches the Rfam family "Bacterial small subunit ribosomal RNA", at positions 29 to 507 of the family's 1533-position model. The record is from RNAcentral.
ACGAACGCUGGCGGCGUGCUUAACACCUGCAGGUCGAACGGAAAGGCCCUGCUUUUGUGGGGUGCUCGAGUGGCGAACGGGUGAGUAACACGUGAGUAACCUGCCCUUGACUUUGGGAUAACUUCAGGAAACUGGGGCUAAUACCGGAUAGGAGCUCCUGCUGCAUGGUGGGGGUUGGAAAGUUUCGGCGGUUGGGGAUGGACUCGCGGCUUAUCAGCUUGUUGGUGGGGUAGUGGCUUACCAAGGCUUUGACGGGUAGCCGGCCUGAGAGGGUGACCGGCCACAUUGGGACUGAGAUACGGCCCAGACUCCUACGGGAGGCAGCAGUGGGGAAUAUUGCACAAUGGGCGGAAGCCUGAUGCAGCAACGCCGCGUGCGGGAUGACGGCCUUCGGGUUGUAAACCGCUUUCGCCUGUGACGAAGCGUGAGUGACGGUAAUGGGUAAAGAAGCACCGGCUAACUACGUG